UAUUAGGUUGGUGCACAAGUAAUUGUGGUUUUUGCCAUUACUUUCAGUAGCAAAAUGCACAAUUACUUGUUG
Molecule: microRNA precursor, 72 nt
Filed under: Cercocebus atys (sooty mangabey)
Lineage: Eukaryota; Metazoa; Chordata; Mammalia; Primates; Cercopithecidae
Description: miRNA (ENSCATG00000016544.1)
Source: RNAcentral